Non-coding RNA from Crucibulum laeve, 105 nucleotides. The record is from the annotation of a GenBank genome assembly. NCBI's taxonomy places the organism in Eukaryota, Fungi, Basidiomycota, Agaricomycetes, Agaricales, Nidulariaceae.
GCCCGCCUAGCUCAAUCGGAUAGAGCGUCAGACUCUUACGAAGUCUGUUGUAGAGCGGAUCAAGGCGGAAUCUGAAGGCUGGGGGUUCGACCCCCCCGGUGGGCU